GUUAUAUGGUCAAGUGAAGAAGCGCAUACGGUGGAUGCCUUGGCAGUCAGAGGCGAUGAAAGACGUGGUAGCCUGCGAAAAGCUUCGGGGAGUCGGCAAACAGACUGUGAUCCGGAGAUGUCUGAAUGGGGGAACCCAGCCAUCAUAAGAUGUUUAUCUUGUACUGAAUACAUAGGUGCAAGAGGCGAACCAGGGGAACUGAAACAUCUAAGUACCCUGAGGAAAAGAAAUCAACCGAGAUUCCCUUAGUAGUGGCGAGCGAACGGGGACCAGCCCUUAAGUUGUAUUGAGAUUAGCGGAACACUCUGGAAAGGGUGGCCAUAGUGGGUGAUAGCCCUGUACGCGAAAAUCCCUUUGCAAUGAAAUCGAGUAGGACGGGGCACGAGAAACCUUGUCUGAAUAUGGGGGGACCAUCCUCCAAGGCUAAAUACUACUGACUGACCGAUAGUGAACCAGUACCGUGAGGGAAAGGCGAAAAGAACCGCGGAGAGCGGAGUGAAAUAGAUCCUGAAACCGUAUGCGUACAAGCAGUGGGAGCCCACUUUGUUGGGUGACUGCGUACCUUUUGUAUAAUGGGUCAGCGACUUAUUUUCAGUGGCGAGCUUAACCGAAUAGGGGAGGCGUAGCGAAAGCGAGUCUUAAUAGGGCGUCUAGUCGCUGGGAAUAGACCCGAAACCGGGCGAUCUAUCCAUGGGCAGGUUGAAGGUUGGGUAACACUAACUGGAGGACCGAACCGACUACCGUUGAAAAGUUAGCGGAUGACCUGUGGAUCGGAGUGAAAGGCUAAUCAAGCUCGGAGAUAGCUGGUUCUCCUCGAAAGCUAUUUAGGUAGCGCCUCAUGUAUCACUGUAGGGGGUAGAGCACUGUUUCGGCUAGGGGGUCAUCCCGACUUACCAAACCGAUGCAAACUCCGAAUACCUACAAGUGCCGAGCAUGGGAGACACACGGCGGGUGCUAACGUCCGUCGUGAAAAGGGAAACAACCCAGACCGUCAGCUAAGGUCCCAAAGUCAUGGUUAAGUGGGAAACGAUGUGGGAAGGCUUAGACAGCUAGGAGGUUGGCUUAGAAGCAGCCACCCUUUAAAGAAAGCGUAAUAGCUCACUAGUCGAGUCGGCCUGCGCGGAAGAUGUAACGGGGCUCAAACCAUGCACCGAAGCUACGGGUAUCAUCUUAGGAUGAUGCGGUAGAGGAGCGUUCUGUAAGCCUGUGAAGGUGAGUUGAGAAGCUUGCUGGAGGUAUCAGAAGUGCGAAUGCUGACAUGAGUAACGACAAUGGGUGUGAAAAACACCCACGCCGAAAGACCAAGGUUUCCUGCGCAACGUUAAUCGACGCAGGGUUAGUCGGUCCCUAAGGCGAGGCUGAAAAGCGUAGUCGAUGGAAAACAGGUUAAUAUUCCUGUACUUCUGGUUAUUGCGAUGGAGGGACGGAGAAGGCUAGGCCAGCCUGGCGUUGGUUGUCCAGGUUUAAGGUGGUAGGCUGAGAUCUUAGGUAAAUCCGGGAUCUCAAGGCCGAGAGCUGAUGACGAGUGUUCUUUUAGAACACGAAGUGGUUGAUGCCAUGCUUCCAAGAAAAGCUUCUAAGCUUCAGGUAACCAGGAACCGUACCCCAAACCGACACAGGUGGUUGGGUAGAGAAUACCAAGGCGCUUGAGAGAACUCGGGUGAAGGAACUAGGCAAAAUGGCACCGUAACUUCGGGAGAAGGUGCGCCGGUGGAGGUGAAGCAUUUACUGCGUAAGCCCCUGCCGGUCGAAGAUACCAGGCCGCUGCGACUGUUUAUUAAAAACACAGCACUCUGCAAACACGAAAGUGGACGUAUAGGGUGUGACGCCUGCCCGGUGCCGGAAGGUUAAUUGAUGGGGUUAGCGCAAGCGAAGCUCUUGAUCGAAGCCCCGGUAAACGGCGGCCGUAACUAUAACGGUCCUAAGGUAGCGAAAUUCCUUGUCGGGUAAGUUCCGACCUGCACGAAUGGCGUAACGAUGGCGGCGCUGUCUCCACCCGAGACUCAGUGAAAUUGAAAUCGCUGUGAAGAUGCAGUGUAUCCGCGGCUAGACGGAAAGACCCCGUGAACCUUUACUAUAGCUUUGCACUGGACUUUGAAUUUGCUUGUGUAGGAUAGGUGGGAGGCUUUGAAGCGUGGACGCCAGUCUGCGUGGAGCCAACCUUGAAAUACCACCCUGGCAACUUUGAGGUUCUAACUCAGGUCCGUUAUCCGGAUCGAGGACAGUGUAUGGUGGGUAGUUUGACUGGGGCGGUCUCCUCCUAAAGAGUAACGGAGGAGUACGAAGGUGCGCUCAGACCGGUCGGAAAUCGGUCGUAGAGUAUAAAGGCAAAAGCGCGCUUGACUGCGAGACAGACACGUCGAGCAGGUACGAAAGUAGGUCUUAGUGAUCCGGUGGUUCUGUAUGGAAGGGCCAUCGCUCAACGGAUAAAAGGUACUCCGGGGAUAACAGGCUGAUACCGCCCAAGAGUUCAUAUCGACGGCGGUGUUUGGCACCUCGAUGUCGGCUCAUCACAUCCUGGGGCUGAAGCCGGUCCCAAGGGUAUGGCUGUUCGCCAUUUAAAGUGGUACGCGAGCUGGGUUUAGAACGUCGUGAGACAGUUCGGUCCCUAUCUGCCGUGGACGUUUGAGAUUUGAGAGGGGCUGCUCCUAGUACGAGAGGACCGGAGUGGACGAACCUCUGGUGUUCCGGUUGUCACGCCAGUGGCAUUGCCGGGUAGCUAUGUUCGGAAAAGAUAACCGCUGAAAGCAUCUAAGCGGGAAACUUGCCUCAAGAUGAGAUCUCACUGGAACCUUGAGUUCCCUGAAGGGCCGUCGAAGACUACGACGUUGAUAGGUUGGGUGUGUAAGCGCUGUGAGGCGUUGAGCUAACCAAUACUAAUUGCCCGUGAGGCUUGACCAUAUAACACCCAAGCAAUU
This 2918-nucleotide ribosomal RNA is filed under the name Pseudomonas congelans. Its description in RNAcentral is "bacterial LSU rRNA". It matches the Rfam family "Bacterial large subunit ribosomal RNA". The record is from RNAcentral. Lineage: Bacteria; Pseudomonadati; Pseudomonadota; Gammaproteobacteria; Pseudomonadales; Pseudomonadaceae.